RNAcentral lists this ribosomal RNA (497 nucleotides) under uncultured bacterium. Its description in RNAcentral is "partial 16S ribosomal RNA". It matches the Rfam family "Bacterial small subunit ribosomal RNA", at positions 28 to 507 of the family's 1533-position model. The record is from RNAcentral.
GAUGAACGCUGGCGGCGUGCCUAAUACAUGCAAGUCGAGCGAACAGAUGAGGAGCUUGCUCCUCUGACGUUAGCGGCGGACGGGUGAGUAACACGUGGAUAACCUACCUAUAAGACUGGGAUAACUUCGGGAAACCGGAGCUAAUACCGGAUAAUAUAUUGAACCGCAUGGUUCAAUAGUGAAAGACGGUUUUGCUGUCACUUAUAGAUGGAUCCGUGCCGCAUUAGCUAGUUGGUAAGGUAACGGCUUACCAAGGCAACGAUGCGUAGCCGACCUGAGAGGGUGAGCGGCCACACUGGAACUGAGACACGGUCCAGACUCCUACGGGAGGCAGCAGUAGGGAAUCUUCCGCAAUGGGCGAAAGCCUGACGGAACAACGCCGCGUGAGUGAUGAAGGUCUUCGGAUCUUAAAACUCUGUUAUUAGGGAAGAACAAAUGUGUAAGUAACUAUGCACGUCUUGACGGUACCUAAUCAGAAAGCCACGGCUAACUACGUG